GCACAACGCGAAGAACCUUACCCACCUUCGACAUGUACGGAAUCCUUUAGAGAUAGAGGAGUGCUCGAAAGAGAGCCGUAACACAGGUGCUGCAUGGCUGUCGUCAGCUCGUGUCGUGAGAUGUUGGGUUAAGUCCCGCAACGAGCGCAACCCUUGCCAUUAGUUGCUACGAAAGGGCACUCUAAUGGGACUGCCGGUGACAAACCGGAGGAAGGCGGGGAUAACGUCAAGUCCUCAUGGCCCUUAUAGGUGGGGCUACACACGUCAUACAAUGGCUGGUACAAAGGGUUGCCAACCCGCGAGGGGGAGCUAAUCCCAUAAAGCCAGUCGUAGUCCGGAUCGCAGUCUGCAACUCGACUGCGUGAAGUCGGAAUCGCUAGUAAUCGUGGAUCAGAAUGUCACGGUGAAUACGUUCCCGGGUCUUGUACACACCG
This 434-nucleotide ribosomal RNA is filed under the name uncultured bacterium. RNAcentral describes it as "bacterial SSU rRNA". It matches the Rfam family "Bacterial small subunit ribosomal RNA", at positions 954 to 1392 of the family's 1533-position model. The record is from RNAcentral.